RNAcentral lists this ribosomal RNA (240 nucleotides) under uncultured bacterium. RNAcentral describes it as "partial 16S ribosomal RNA". It matches the Rfam family "Bacterial small subunit ribosomal RNA", at positions 94 to 334 of the family's 1533-position model. The record is from RNAcentral.
AGCGGCGGACGGGUGAGUAACGCGUGGGUAACCUGCCUCAUACAGGGGGAUAACAGUUAGAAAUGACUGCUAAUACCGCAUAAGACCACGGUACCGCAUGGUACAGUGGUAAAAACUCCGGUGGUAUGAGAUGGACCCGCAUCUGAUUAGGUAGUUGGUGGGGUAACGGCCUACCAAGCCGACGAUCAGUAGCCGACCUGAGAGGGUGACCGGCCACAUUGGGACUGAGACACGGCCCAG